GAGAGCCCCAAAGGGGAGGGCCAAGGAGCUCCCUCUGGUGCAGGAGCAGAGGCUCAGAAGGAAGUCUCAGAGGUGCCAACAAGAAACUAUUAGUCUGCUUUGCUUUAGAAAAUCAGUCUGUGCUCUGAUAAUGCAUCUCCAUCUACGCUGCGUCUAUUUUGGGGUACGUGUAUAUAGGUGUUUGGGAGUUGGUGUUGAUCGUUUUUUUCUUUGUUAUCUUCUAAUAUAUUCUACUUUUAUUUGCUGAAUUAAGAGGAAAGGAUCUCUGGGAGAACUCCCGUACUCAACUUGAUCUUCAAAUAGAGGAACAGUAAGAAGUCUUCCUAAAAAAGAUGAAGGAAACUGAUCAUCACUAAUUGCUGACUUUCCAAUCCAGAAAACACACACACAUAGAUGCAGUUCAGAUCUAGCAUUGCUGUGGCUGUAGUGUAGGCCUCAGAUGCAGCUCCAACUUGAACCCUGGCCUGGGAACUUGUGUAUGUCACAGGUGUGGCAGAAAGAAAGAAACAAAGAAAGAAGGGAGGAAGGAAGGAAGGAAGGAGGAAAGGAAGGAAAGAAAUGAAAGCUUGAGUCAUUGCCAGCAGUCCCAGGAAGUACACAAAACCAUAAGUGCCAGUGGCUCUUUAAGAAUACAUCUUCAAGGUGGAGCAUCUGUAAGGACCACUGAAGGGCUUCAACUCUGCAAGACUAUAAAGUCCCCAUCUUGGGGCAUAGAGUAUUGUUGGGAACAUAGGCCCUGGAGUCAGCCAGAUCUGAGUAUGCCACACAGCUAGGUGACCUCAGCAAGUCACUUAAACCUGGUAAACUAAGGGAAAUAACAUCCACUUUGUAGGGCGUUUUGAGAUCAAAUGAGGUGUGUGUGAAAUGGAAUGUAUAUCUGUGCCUCAAAAAAUUCGUGUGGAAACCCUAAUCCUCAAUGUGAAGGUUUUAGGAGGUGGGGGCCUUUUGGAGGUGUUUAGAUUUAUUCGAGGUCAUGAAAGUAGAGCUCUCAUGAUGACAUGUGUGUCCUUACAAGAAAAGAAAGAGACUAGGACUCUCUCUGUCCACCACAUGAGGAUACAAGGAGAAGAUGGCUGUAUGAAAGCCAGGAAGAGGGCCCACACCAGACACUGAACCUGCUGGCACCCUGAUCUUGAACCUCUCAUCCUCCAGAGCUGUGAGAAGUAAAUUUCCAUUGUUUAAGCCACCCAAUUUAUUGUAUCUUGUUACAGCAGUCUGAACUAAGUACAUGAAGCUUUUUACACAGCGCCUAGAAUAAACACUCAUAAAAUAAUAAAAAUAUAUAAGUAAGAAUGUAGGUAAAAAAUAAAUGAAGCCACUGACUAGGCAAGUCUGGAUUUCAAUGAGCUUCAGAAAAGAUUUCACUUUUUCUAAUUCUAGGAAAACAGCUAAAAAGAUGAACUAGGAUGGACACAUUUUUUAAGUACACUUAUUUGCAGUUUUUAUUUUGAAGAGGGGGAAGCAGCAGCUGCACCAUCCCCAUGACAAGCCAGACGGUAGACAAACACUGGUGGAAGCUCUGUCAGGGGAACGGUGACUCUCCAGCCAGCUUCAUGUGGGACAUCAGGAGGACAGAUUUUCUCAGGUGAUUUUCUCAUUCAUUCUCAUUCCUGCUUGGCUAGAAACAGUACAUAAGCUGUUUGUCUCAAAUGAACGCUCCAGUGGAUAAAACACCAAAAGGGAUUUGGGGAAACAUAACAAAAUGAGAAUCGCCAUACUGGCUUAGACCAACUGUCUGACAAUUGCACCAGGAGACAUUUACAGGAAAGAGUUGUAACUUCCUCCAUAAUCAUGGCCUCGCAAGCUUAGAAGCAACUCCAAAAUGGCCUCUAUUAUCCUAAACUGUACUUAAAGCCACCUUGAGUUUUAUACAAGCAUUUUCAGCUAAUACUGAGUUUAUUAUUUAACCAGCUUUUAUUCCUAUGUUUUGUUCCUCUUGACUGCAACCUUGAUUCACUAUAUAAUCUGGAGCAAGUCCCCAAGCUAAUUCUGUCUUAGUAUCUCCAACUAUAAAAUGGAAAAAUUAUAGUGGCUCCUUGGUGGGGUCACAAAUAAAGGGAAGAGAUUCCCAGAGCUACGUUUUUCUCUGCUGUGAACCCUACAAAGGAAGAAAGGCACUUCAAACCAGACACUUAAUUUCCAUUUUCUGUGCUAAUUCAUAUUACUCCUACAAGACUCAAAUAGUGGUUAAUGAAAGAGAAAAAUAAAAGAGGGAAGGGAACUAGGAAAUAUCUUGGGGUCAGGUUGAAGUGUAAGCCACUGAACCAACAAAAAUGUUUUCCCAUCCACAGCAGAAAGGUCUUGGGACUAGAUUACUCACCCGGAUUAUAAUACUGCAGAAUCUAUGUGACUACUCCUAAAUAAAAAUGUUUGGUAAGAAUAAGAAUAAAAUUGGCAUUUUUUUUCCUUUUGAGCUAAAGAAAAUCCAAAAACAAGUAGUACUGAAUUAUCAAAACAGGGAUAAUGAAUAACAGACUAUGUGUACACACUUAAAUCACUCAGAUCAUGCUGGAAUUUGACAAGAAAUUUUUAUUAUCAUAUAUCUAAUUGGUUCUAGACAUGAGUGACUUUAAUCACCCUUUUAUGUCCGAUAGGAGUAAUAAUUAGAGUGGAGAUUCAGGGAGGAGAUUUAAUAGUUUCUGUUCAGGAAGAAGAACUCUGGGAAAGCACAGUUAUAGAGAAGUUACCGUGUAGGCAGGAGAGCAUGAGCAGUUAAAUGACGCAAUGGUCUCUCCCUUUCUCCCUUACUAAAGACAAAUGGAAUUUUUAACAAAGUCAUAUAGUCCCUUCCAGAAAACAAAAAUGCAUCCAGUGUGAAACAUUUGUGUGUAGCUAAGUCAUCUUAGUUUCUUUAGGAUUGAAUUUUAGAAUUUAUUGAGGAAAUAAUAAUUAAAAGUAAAUACCCUCUAAAUAAUUUAUUACAGUCUUAUGAUGCUCAUAUUUGUUAACCAGGUAAGGAGGCAAAAUUUCACUGCUAGAAGAGCUAAGGUAGUUGUUCUAUUUGUUAUAAUGCUGAAAAUGUUUUUAAUUAAGUGAUAUUAAAAUAAGUGCAAAUAGAAUUCUCUGGGGCUGCUUCCUCUUAAAAAGAGGUUUUAAAUAUUAAAUGAGGGAAAAUGCAGACCACCCUGGUUUGUCCAUCUUAAAGAUGCAUGUUGUAUUACCUUGUGUCGAGGGAAUGCAUGUAGCAUAGAUUAAUUAGCCAGUUAGGUCUUUGCUGUAUCCAGUGUUAUGGAAGGCAAACUGUGCCAGGCUCAGACCACCUGUUUUAUCUGAAAUACCAAGGUGUUUAAGUCAGCACAGGGACUGUCACCAGAUGGGGGCAAACAAAUGAAUAAACCGUAAUUAAAAGUGUAGUUUAGUGCCUGGAGAAUCAGGGAAACUUGCUCUUUGCUGGUAUUAUGGCCUCAUUGAGUCACUUAAUGCCUUUGGGACUCAGUUUCCUAAUGAGGAGAAUGAGAGGGUUGACCUUCAAAGAGGUUUUCAACACUAAAAUUCUAAGGCACAUUAUUUUUACUACCUAAGAGAAGCAAACCCAUCAGUCUCCACAUCAGAGAAAUGUGCUGGCUUAUGGAGAUGGAACCACACCACGGGCCCCACUGUGCAGAUCCAAACCAAGAUCAAGGGUCUAGAGGUCCUCCAGCCUCCCACCACUGAAUCACUGUCCACUUGCAGCCACCAGCAGACAAGAAAGCCUCAGGGGUGGAGAACCUAGUGGCAGAUGACCUAGAUCUCUAGCAAGCCGGAUCUGCAUGAGGACUGCCUCAUAGAUUUCUACCCAGUCUCCGGGACGCCCUCUCCAGUCUGCUCCUGCAGACAACUGUGUGGCCCCUUCGGUUUGAAGCACACACACGCCUCCUCCUUUCCUCACUCACACAAAUGCCAUGUUAGGUUACCUUCAUUCUUCCACUCAUUGCUUAUUCACUCAUUCACUGGUCUAGCCCUUACUAAGCGCCUGCUGUGGGCAGCUGUCUCUGCUAGGGCUCGAUCUGCUUUGACCACAAUGCUGUGUGUGGUAAAGCCAGUGUGUAGGUUUGUGGUGGCCAGCAGCAAACUCUCUGGAGUUAGACUUCCUGAGUUCAAAUCCCAGCUCUCCCACUUACUAUGUGAUCUUGAACAAGUGCUUCAUCUUCUCUGUGCCUCAGUACUCUCAUUUGUUCUUAUUUGUGAAUAAUAGUAGGAAUUGCCCCUGUAAAGUUUUGUGGAGGGUUAAAUAAGUCAGUCUGUGUUUAGUGGCUCAAAAAGCACUUGAUAGGAUCUGAUGAUCACUGAGCAGAGCUUCCUGUUAUUAUCCUGAAUCAGUCUGAGAUCAGUGGCCCUCUUGCUGAGCUGCUGAUGACAUUUGACACAGUGCCUUCUAUUUAAAACAUGAUGUUUCAUGGCCAUGGAGUUGUUUGUCCACUUCAAAGGGCCAUUGGGAAUGAAUGUGAGGAGAUUCGUCACUGACAAGGAUUAGUGAAGCAAGCAGAAUUGCUACCUCAGAGAGCUCAGGGCAACGACAGUCACUUUGUCCAAGCCUGAGCAGCAGCAAAGGACAGCAAAAGCCCGAAGAAAAGAACCAGAAAGGAAGUAUAGCCAGGCAAACCCAGGAGGACCUGAGUACUUGCUCCAGCCACUCUGUUUGGGAAGUGCAGAAGUCUAUGUUGCUAGAGGUGAGAGAGGUUUCCCCAGCAAACGUGGUGAGCCUGAGCACCCUGGCCCCUGGUGCACCUGGUGCUGAUGGCCAGCCUGGUGCUAAAGGCAAUGCUGGUGCCCUUGGCCCCAUUUGUACCAUUGGUGCUCCUGGACCCAAAGGUGUUCAUAGAAGCACUGGUCCUCCUGGUGCUACUGGUUUCACCAUACACUGUUUAAUCUCUAAGGUGGCUGGGAAAAUAAUGUUAAACAGAGCAACAUUGGCUUACAGCCCUCCCAACAGAAAAGGAACAGUUAGCCAGGUGUUUUAUGCCUUCCCUAAGCAGGCCUACACCCUAUCUCAGCAGGAAGUAGUUACUGAACAGUCAUCACCCAAUAUCCCCUUUAAGCGUAAAGGGGUAAAACACCUGGAGGGGGGGAAUGAUAGGGAUGGAGCAUGCACAGAUAAUUUUAAAAAUCCCAGUAAAGAACCACAGAUAACAAGGGAAACGUAGGGGACAUUGGGAGAUCACUGGAAGUAAAUAAAUUGCUCAAAAAAGCCAUCAGAACAAGGCAGGCUUGCUUCAUUAGUGAAACCUUGAGAAUUGCCUCAGGUCAUUGGGUGGGGGAUGGGAUGAGGACUGCAUUCAUAUUCAGACCAAGGGCAGGAGUUUGAGGACCACCCUUCUGCUGAUUUGAAGACACACCUUACUGGAUACCAAGGAGGAGCUAGUACUCCCAGAAAGGAAGAGGCAGGCUUUUCCAACCCCUGCUCCCCUUGGAUGAUAAAACUGUAGCCCACUGGAUCCUUGGGGCAGAGCCUCCUUGCCUGCCCGCUUGCAUGUCCACAAGCGUCCUAUCCUAAUAAAUCUACUUCUUGCUUAUCAAAAAUAAAAUAAAAUAAAAUAAUAAAAUAAAAUGUGUUGUCAGGAGGCUGGAGAGGAAAAUAUGGUCCUAACCCUAUCCAGCCUCCAGAGGUCACUCACACUCCUUGGCUCACAGCCUCACCUCACUCCAAUCUCUCCUUCCAUCAUUCCAUUCUUCGACUCUCCUACCUUUCUCUUUCUCUAACAAAGACCUUUGUGAUUACAUGGAUCCCACCCAGAUAAUUCAGGAUUACCCCCCAACUCAAGAUUCUUACCUUAAUCACAUCUGUCAAGUCCCUUUGCUGUGGAAGUUAACGCGGCCACAGGUUCCGGGGAUUAGGAUUUGGAAACACCUGAGGGACUAUUAUUCUGCCCACUUCAGAUGCCAUGAAGGCCUAGCCACGGAAAAGACUAAGUUGUAUCCACAGAGUUCCCCAGUGUUUAUACAUUCAUUUCUGAUCCUCUCUCCUCCCCGAUCCUCAGUAUGUUACUCAACUUCUCUGAGAGUCAGUUUCCACAUAUGCCAAACAGGAAUGGCCCACACUGUACAUUAUCAGGUUAUUUGAGGAAUAACACAUGCACUAGGGUUAUAAAAUGCUUAGCAAAUCUUAGAAUAAAAUUCUAUAUAAAAUGAACAAAUAAUAGGAGUUCACAUUGUGGCUCAGCAAGUUAAGAACCUGACUAGUAUCCAUGAGGAGACAGGUUUGAUCCCUGGCCUUGCUCGGGGGGGGUUAAGGAUCCUGCAUUGCCAUGAGCUACACCUUAAGUCAAGACACAGCUGGUGUUGCUGUGGCUGUAGUGUAGGCUGGUGGCUACAGCUCCAAUUCAACCCCUAGCCUGAGAAUAUCCAUAUGCUGCAGGUGCGG
RNAcentral lists this long non-coding RNA (6340 nucleotides) under Sus scrofa (pig). RNAcentral describes it as "lncRNA (ENSSSCG00040066063.1)". Lineage: Eukaryota; Metazoa; Chordata; Mammalia; Artiodactyla; Suidae. The record is from RNAcentral.